AUUUAAUUCAACAUCGAGGUCACAAACUUAAUUAUUAAUAAGAACUCGCCAAUUAAAUUAUGCUGUUAACCCUAGAGUAAUUUCAUUAAAUAACCUUACUAUUUAAAAAUCUUUUUUUUCAACAAUUACCCCAAUUAAAAAUUCAAAAUUUUAAACUUCUAGGGUCUUCUCGUCCCAAAGAUUGAUAAAGACAUUCUUAUCUUUAACUUAAAUUCAAAUUUAUUAAUAAAAACUUUCCCUUUCAUAUUUCGACCCUUCAUUCCAGUCCCCUAUUAAAGAA
RNAcentral lists this ribosomal RNA (280 nucleotides) under Pickeliana sp. MZSP 72907. Its description in RNAcentral is "partial large subunit ribosomal RNA". The record is from RNAcentral. Lineage: Eukaryota; Metazoa; Arthropoda; Arachnida; Opiliones; Stygnidae.